This 421-nucleotide ribosomal RNA is filed under the name Fusobacteriota bacterium. RNAcentral's name for it is "Fusobacteria bacterium partial 16S ribosomal RNA". It matches the Rfam family "Bacterial small subunit ribosomal RNA", at positions 355 to 776 of the family's 1533-position model. Lineage: Bacteria; Fusobacteriati; Fusobacteriota. The record is from RNAcentral.
UGGGGAAUAUUGCACAAUGGACGGAAGUUUGAUGCAGCAACGCCGCGUGGAGGGUGUAGGCCUUCGGGUUGUGAACUCCUUUUUCUCGCGAAAAAGGCACAGUUUUGGCUGUGUUGAUGGUAGUGGGGGAAGAAGCGCCGGCUAACUUCGUGCCAGCAGCCGCGGUAAUACGUAGGGCGCGAGCGUUGUCCGGAUUUAUUGGGCGUAAAGAGCUCGUAGGUGGUUCGUCGCGUCUGUCGUGAAAGCCAGCAGCUUAACUGUUGGUCUGCGGUGGGUACGGGCGGGCUUGAGUGCGGUAGGGGUGACUGGAAUUCCUGGUGUAGCGGUGGAAUGCGCAGAUAUCAGGAGGAACACCGAUGGCGAAGGCAGGUCACUGGGCCGUUACUGACACUGAGGAGCGAAAGCGUGGGGAGCGAACAGG